This is a long non-coding RNA of Erigeron canadensis, 2536 nucleotides long. RefSeq lists it as uncharacterized. The record is from RefSeq and is a predicted model, not a curated record. The transcript has 13 exons. NCBI's taxonomy places the organism in Eukaryota, Viridiplantae, Streptophyta, Magnoliopsida, Asterales, Asteraceae.
UCUUGAACAACUAUUACGAUAUUUCUCUCAAGAAAUACUCAAUUUUCUUGAUCGGAAUGGUGUGCUUUGUUGUUGUUGGGGGUAUAUAUGACGCCGUUUUGUAAUGGAAGCUUUUCGGGAUGGUUUAUUUUACGCACGUGCUUCUUUUGUCAGGUAUAUGGACUAUUUCAACUUGUACCAUGGGAAACUACUGCGAUGCGUUUGAUAAUUGCUUUCUACUGAGCUACUGUGAAUGUGGAAGAAGAAACUUUGCUUGGAGGUGUUGGAUGAUGAUAUGGAUGAUGAAUAUGAGAAUGUUAACAGACUAACAGUGAUGCAUCUCAUACCGGAAGGUCAAAAAUAAGAAGACGGAUAAAGGUGCUGCAGUAACAAAAGUUUUAAAGCUUCUCCAGUUUGUAACAUUAAUAAUAAGAAUAUCGUUAUGGAGUGAACAGCUUCAAGAAGGAAAUCAAGUCUGUGCCAAAGCUGCUGUUAAAAAGGUAGAUCAUCUCGCUUUAUGAGUGCAUGCAACGGGAACUACAAGUAUUGGACGUGGAUCCUCUUUGUUUGCUAAGCACAUGAGAAGUAUUUAUGACUUGUUACUCUUCUCUCCCAAAAACACUUGAGGAUGUGGAGGGAGAUUAGACUAUUGGCUGAAUCUAAGCCUGUUAUCGCAUUAGGUAGAUGUGGUCGCUUGCGGAAGACACUACAUGGUCAUGGAAGCACAGGCUAUAGUUUCCGAGAACAUUAAUUUGACGGGUUCUAUCGGUGUUGUCCCAGACCCGAUGAAGAAUUAUUUUUUGCCGAAUCUCCCCAGAAUGCUAGCAAACACUUUCAUAACAAGGCAGCAUUUUCAAGAUCCAUAAUAUUCAUUACUGUAUCAGUGUAUGUGGUCACUCUACUGUGCUGCAAGCCUGCAAUGGAUAAGAUGGAGGAAUUUGCUCAAGGGGGAGAAUGGACUGGAAAGAAUGCUGCUUCACAGGGCUUAGUAGAUGCAAUUGGAGGGUUCUCGCAGGCUAUUGCCAUAUCAAAACAGAAGGCAAACAUAGCUCAGGACAAACAGGUUACUUUGGUUGAGCUGUCAAAAUCAUCACCCUUAUGAAAGUAGUUCUAUAUCUGCUGGGCUCGCUAGAGGACAUGUUUUCCAAGAUCAUGUUUUCAUCAGUAAUCUUAGUUCGAGGAUGACAUUUAAAGAAGGUGGUGCAGAAUUUACAGGGUACCCAAAUAUUUUUCUCAUGAAACAUCUUCGGUUGAGGAUAAUCUGGGUUUGUCUACAGUCUAUUGAUCGAACUAGUGUGUUUGUUAUUAAUGGGGUAUAGAUGACGCUGGUUUGUGAAGGAAGCUUUCCCGGAUGGUUUAUCCUACGCACGUGCUUCAUUGGGUUGCGGGCGUUCGAUAUGCAAUGGUAAUUGGAUCAUCUCGCCUGCAUGAAUGCAUGCAAUGUAAAUUAUUGACGGGUUGGCAGGUAUUGGACGUGGAUCCUCUCUAUUUGCUGUUUAUAUUUAAGAUGAAACUUGUCAGCAGCGUCUUGGUAUACAUGAUACAGAAAAUAUAGCUGACCUUUCUUGUGGAACAUAGUGGGGAUUGGCUGUUUGUUCCAGUUAGGCUCAUUUAAAACACUAUUGAUGGGUAAUGAUAGUCUAGUUUUGGACAUGCAAUUGCAUGCUCAGGCAGCAGUUGGGUACUGUUGCAUAUGACGGUGUCGUCUGAGCCUCGUAUUGGAUUUGAAUGGGAGAAUUGAAGUAAUUCUGUAAAAGGGAGAUGAAAUCCAACUAAGCCCUUUCCCUGCUGCGUAAUUUGUGCAAUUCACAAAGCUUCUUUAGUAUUUCAGAAGUAGUACCCAAUACAACCCAAUUCAGGUGAUCGCUCUAUGCAAGGCAUGGUUGAAUGGGCUUGUUAACUUAACCAGAACAGUUAUACUGUCUGGGUAUAAUAUUAGAUUGAUUAGCUCAAUUGUAAGAGUCAUGUUACCGAGAAUAAAAUAGCAGUUUAAGUAAAAGAUGGGAAGAAUAAGCAUGCUCAAUUUCUAACUUUCAGCUAAAAUUUCCAACUUUCCAUCUUUGUGUUCCUAUAUUUUUUCUUCUUUCAGCGAACAAUCCUGGUUCAGUAGUUUUCUAAUUUUUUAUCAAUAUAGCAUCUAAAUAGCUAAGGAGCCAUGGAGGACAACUUGGGAAAUUGCAUCGUCUUGUUAUAGAACAUGACUCAUAACUAAAGUCAAUGGUAGAGAGUCUGUUACAACCCUAGGAAUCACUUGGAGUAGUGAUUAUAAUGGUUACUGUAGUCAGUGGUUUUUGCGACAGAAUGACCAUGAAUAACUGACUACCAGCGAUCAAUAAUGGUCGGAAGAGGAAAGUUGGUAGAAGAGGUGAAUCUGGGCACUACUGAUAAUACAGAUAGUGAUGAAGAGUGAGACCAAAUGAUGCUGGUGACCAUUAUUGAGACAUUUAUGGUGUUUUCAUUUCUUCUAGACCCUUUUGUUGAGGUAGUAUUUACUCGUUUCUGUAGGAGAACGCAUACCUCAGAAGUAUUUUAAUAUGGCUCUUUGUUUUUGCUCAAA